RNAcentral lists this ribosomal RNA (917 nucleotides) under uncultured Bacillota bacterium. RNAcentral's name for it is "bacterial SSU rRNA". It matches the Rfam family "Bacterial small subunit ribosomal RNA", at positions 1 to 917 of the family's 1533-position model. The record is from RNAcentral. Lineage: Bacteria; Bacillati; Bacillota.
UGGAUCCAGACUUUGAUCAUGGCUCAGGACGAACGCUGGCGGCGCGCCUAACACAUGCAAGUCGAACGGAGAUUACAGGCGGAAGUUUUCGGAUGGAAGCUUGUAAACUUAGUGGCGGACGGGUGAGUAACACGUGAGCAACCUGCCUAUCAGAGGGGGAUAACGAUUGGAAACGAUCGCUAAUACCGCAUGACAUAGCGGAACCGCAUGGUUCUGUUAUCAAAGAUUUUAUCGCUGAUAGAUGGGCUCGCGUCCGAUUAGAUAGUUGGUGGGGUAACGGCCUACCAAGUCGACGAUCGGUAGCCGGACUGAGAGGUCGAACGGCCACAUUGGGACUGAGACACGGCCCAGACUCCUACGGGAGGCAGCAGUGGGGGAUAUUGCACAAUGGGGGAAACCCUGAUGCAGCGACGCCGCGUGAGGGAAGACGGUCCUCUGGAUUGUAAACCUCUGUCUUCGGGGACGAAACGAGACGGUACCCGAGGAGGAAGCCACGGCUAACUACGUGCCAGCAGCCGCGGUAAUACGUAGGUGGCAAGCGUUGUCCGGAAUUACUGGGUGUAAAGGGAGCGUAGGCGGGCAGGCAAGUCAGGCGUGAAAUAUAUCGGCUCAACCGGUAACGGCGCUUGAAACUGCAGGUCUUGAGUGAAGUAGAGGUUGGCGGAAUUCCUAGUGUAGCGGUGAAAUGCGUAGAUAUUAGGAGGAACACCAGUGGCGAAGGCGGCCAACUGGGCUUUUACUGACGCUGAGGCUCGAAAGUGUGGGGAGCAAACAGGAUUAGAUACCCUGGUAGUCCACACCGUAAACGAUGAUUACUAGGUGUGGGGGGACUGACCCCUUCCGUGCCGGAGUUAACACAAUAAGUAAUCCACCUGGGGAGUACGGCCGCAAGGUUGCAACUCAAAGGAAUUGACGGA